RNAcentral lists this ribosomal RNA (1309 nucleotides) under uncultured prokaryote. RNAcentral describes it as "partial 16S ribosomal RNA". It matches the Rfam family "Archaeal small subunit ribosomal RNA", at positions 21 to 1338 of the family's 1478-position model. The record is from RNAcentral.
CCUGACUGCUAUCGGAUUGAUACUAAGCCAUGCGAGUCAUUGUAGCAAUACAAGGCAUACUGCUCAGUAACACGUGGAUAACCUGCCCUACACUGGGGGAUAAUCUCGGGAAACUGAGCAUAAUACCCCAUAGACCACUACGCCUGGAACGGUGAGUGGUUGAAAGCUUCGGCGGUGUAGGAUGGGUCUGCGGCGUAUCAGGUUGUAGGGGGUGUAAUGGACCUCCUAGCCAUCGACGCGUACGGGUUGUGGGAGCAAUAGCCCGGAGACGGAUUCUGAGACACGAAUCCGGACCCUACGGGGUGCAGCAGGCGCGAAAACUUCACACUGCAGGAAACUGUGAUGAGGGAACUCCAAGUGACUGCACAAUGUGUAGCCUUUUCUUGAAUUUUAAUAGUUCUUGGAAUAAGGGCUGGGAAAGACCGGUGCCAGCCGCCGCGGUAAUACCGGCAGCUCGAGUGGUCGUCGCUUUUAUUGGGCCUAAAACGUCCGUAGCCUGUUUGGUAAAUCUGUGGGUAAAUCAAUCCUCUUAAGGGAUUGAAUUCUGCAGAGACUGCCAGACUAGGGACCGGGAGAGGUAUGAGGUACUCUGGGGGUAGGGGUAAAAUCCUGUCAUCCCCAGAGGACCACCUGUUGCGAAGGCGUCAUACUGGAACGGAUCCGACGGUCAGGGACGAAGCCUAGGGGCACGAACCGGAUUAGAUACCCGGGUAGUCCUAGGUGUAAACGCUGUGGAUUUGGUGUGUGGGGUCCGCAAUGGGCCCCAAGUGCCGCAGGGAAGCCGUUAAGUUUGCCGCCUGGGAAGUACGUACGCAAGUAUGAAACUUAAAGGAAUUGGCGGGGGGGCACCACAAGGGGUGAAGCCUGCGGUUCAAUUGGAGUCAACGCCAGAAAUCUUACCCGGAGAGACAGCAGAAUGAAGGUCAAGCUGAAGACUUUACCAGACAAGCUGAGAGGUGGUGCAUGGCCGUCGCCAGCUCGUGCCGUGAGAUGUCCUGUUAAGUCAGGUAACGAGCGAGAUCCCUGCCUCUAGUUGCCACCAUUACUCUCAGGAGUAGUGGGGCGAAUUAGCGGGACCGCCGCAGUUAAUGCGGAGGAAGGAAGGGGCCACGGCAGGUCAGUAUGCCCCGAAACUCUGGGGCCACACGCGGGCUGCAAUGGUAACGACAAUGUGUUCCGAAUCCGAAAGGAAGAGGUAAUCCUCAAACGUUACCACAGUUAUGACUGAGGGCUGCAACUCGCCCUCACGAAUAUGGAAUCCCUAGUAACUGCGUGUCAUUAUCGCGCGGUGAAUACGUCCCUGCUCCUU